GAUCUUCCCAACCCAGGGAUCGCACCCGGGUCUCCUGCAUAGGCAGGCGGAUUCUUUACCGUCUGAACCACCCAGGAAGCCCGAAAUAUGUCUAGCAAGUCCCAUUGGGUUUAGGGCCUUGAAUGAAGGAGGGAUAUUGUGGCCGGCUUAAAAAAAAAUCACUUGGUGACUUUUGCUUUUAGUUCCUCUAGUCCAAGAUUAGAUCUCUUUCCUGCUGAAAGAGACAUUUGUAUGCGGUGAAGGGGUGGCCUCUGUUCAUUCCUCACUAACCUUGCAGACAUGUAGGUGGGUGACAAGCCAAAAUUAGGAUAUGUGGCUCUAAAAAUAACUAUUAAGAGGAAGGUAAAAAGAUUUUGUCCCCUUUUUUAAGCUUAGAAAACUUAAUCAUAAGUUUAAAUUACAAGAAGCGUGUGUGUAUGUGUGUGUGUACGUAUUCAGGCUUAACCAGAAAACAUAAAUUUGGUUUUUGUCAAUACUGCACCUUUGAGAUGACCACUUAGUGUUUAGUAGGCUUCCUUCUGUUGAGACAUUUAAAAAUGUGUGGUCUUUACUGCUAAUUUUCUUUAACUGUUUGACAAGGUUGAGUGCAGUGUCUAGAAACUGGCUGGCUGGCUGCCACCAGUAAUUCUGAAAUCCAGUUUUCGUCAUUUGAUUCCUUUUCUGUGCCCAGUGUUUCACCAGAGCCGCAAAUGCAGCAGAAUUAACUGACCUUCACUUUCGUUUUGUGCCAGUGGCCUUUCUUACAGAUAUGCUUAGGAGCAGUGAGAGUUGAAGAGAAAGGAAAGCCCAAGAAUUGCCUAAUUAAACGUUAGGGCAAGGUUUUGUUUUUUUUGGUUUUUUUCUCCCCAAACGAAACUUUCUUCCAAGCUAUCACAUUUAGUUAGGCCUGAAAAUUCUCUGUGAGAGGAUUGUCCCAUGUGCUGUUCAGAUCAUCCAGCUGUACAGUGGAAGGUGUAAAGGGGCAGUGUCUUGCCUGAGGUCAGUGGCUCUGAGCCGACCUUAGGGCUAGCUGCCCAGCCUCUUGAACCCACUGCCUACUCCAGUGCUCUCUCCUGUUGCCUCUGAAAACAUCUGGACACCCUGGAUCCAGCUGUAGGUGUUUUUGUGACCCCUUUCUGGGGAGUGUCACUCAUUAACGAAACCUUUUGGGUUUUGCACAAAUCUGACAAUCUAAAAGCUUAGAGGAUGUUGAUGAAAAAACUAAUCAGUCAAUCUAGGAAAGAAAUGGGAAGUUUUAUUCGAGCGAGGCUGAGCUUCAUAACCCAGAGACAGUCUCUGAGAGCUCUAAGAACUGUUGAGGGUGUGGGGAGCUGUGUGUACGUGGCCAAGAGUGACCUUGCUAACAAGUACACGUCUCAGCAGAAGGCUGCUGCUAAUCAGGAGGAACAGACAUCUGUGUUAAUGAUCUCAGUGUGGGAAGGUGCCGGAAUCCGGCUUUGUGAAAUAUUUCUCCUGGAAACAAUCUGAGGGCCAAUUCUGUCAUGUUUCCUAGAGCAAGAAGUACCUCAUCCUAAUCUUUGCCCUGAAUUCCUUUUGGGAUGUAUGUGAGUCAGUAACUAUAGUGGCUAAUGAUUUGAUUCUUAUAGAACUGGACGGUAGGCAAGAUUCUCUACAGUCCUUUCCCUUUCGGUAUUAAUUUGACCAAGGUUUAGGAGGCAUGUGGUGAGUAACUCCAUGGUGCUAGCAAUGCUCAUUCCCAGGUCAGGGGAGGAUUUCCUUGAUAGACCCCUUGAUGUGCUGUUAGUGGACUAGGCCCUCUGAAUAGUAACCAAAAGCCUCUGGACCAUGUAUCUUAGUAGUCUCUUAUGCUCUAAGAAACAGCUGCCUCUUGUUGCUUCUUCCCACAUGUAGAGCUAUACUACUAUAAUCUUGGUUUUACAGAGCUAUAUACUUAGUCAAUCAUUUCAAAUUAUCUAAUGGCCAUUAAUUUUAUUGGAGGCUUAGUCACACAUUUGGUAACUCAGGAGACAGUAAUCUUAUAAAAUAGGCAGAAUGCAAAUAAUAUAGCUAGUGACAUUAACAAGGUCACAAGUGAGUAUUUAAACUACGAUCUUUGUGUUAGGUUCAGCCCAGUCUCUUCUGGGUCAAUUGCUGUCUUGAAGGGAAAUGAUGUAUUGGCAUUGUAAAUAUGAUAUAUCUAUGUAUGAUAUACUUUAAGGGAAAUGAUGUAUUGGCACUAAAGUUCACCAAAGAUGUCUGCACAUGCAAGAAUCGGUAAUCUUGGAAGACACAGCUUUCCUAUUGGCUUGGUGGACCUUUUAGAAUAAUGUUGUAUGGUGUGGUGUCAGCUCUGUUUUCUGGAAUAAUGUAGUUAUGGAAUGAGUUGAAUGAGGAGAAAUGAUGUGUUUUCGGGUAUAGAAGGUGGGUGAUGCCUAGUUUAAAAGAAAAAAGAUAGAAGAGACAGUUCAGAGUGGGGAGAGGGGUACACCUGUUUGAAAUUCAGUGGCCCUCCAUAGCCAGCUCCUUUCUAGGUUCUGGCGAUCACAUCCCCUGGCCCCUGUCUCCAGCCCCGGCUUUCUGCUGGGUGCUGGUCCGUCUUCGGUUUAUGAGCGCUUGCCCAGCUCAGCCCAGCCAGUCUGUCCCACGUUUAACCCUUUUGCUCCUCCCCCACCCUGGAAUAUGCUUCUCCUGCUUUUUUUUUUUUCUUUUUCUUUGAACUAUUAAUGUUAACAGCAGCCUGCUGGUGCCCCAGGGUUAUUCUCAGUCUUCUUAUUCUCUCUGGAAGCCUUUGUCAACACUGGAUGGCAGCUAAACCCUGGUGACCUGCUUCUGCGCCCACACCGCCCGUCUGCUCCUGCCUUGCUGUCCUGGCUCAGACCCUGUAACAGGAGGCGCUUGUGCUAUGGGUUGCUUCACCCUCCUUCAGUACCCCAUUGCCAGGGAUUUCUCAAAUAUCCUGACUCCUUUGUUUGAAAGUUUACUGUGGCUUCUGUAGCGGGAAAAUAAAAUCCAAACUUGUUUGCAUGUGUUACACUUGGGCCCCAGCCUUACUUUUUCAGAGUGGUUCGUUUUUUGUUAUUGUUUUAUAAAUUUCUCCUUUCCUCGAACCAGCAACAACGAACUGAGCUAGUUACACUUGACCUUGUAUUUCUUGAAUGAGCUUUGUGUUUCCAGGCCUUUCUUUGCUCCUACACUCUACUUGGCAGCCUGGUGUCUGCUUUCAAAAUACCUCCUUCAAGGCCUAAGUUAGAGAGCCAGAAGAAUUAAUUUCUUCCUUGGGUUUCUUCUAUAGCACUUUCUGCAUAGACCCCUUUGUGUCACAGCACUUACCGUAUUGUCUGUUUAUUUGUUCACCUGUGUUAGAUUGAAUUUUUAGAGGGAGGUCAUGUGCAUCUUUACAUCUCCAGCAGUAGAAAAGCGCCUAACUUUAGCCCCUGGAUUUUAGCUUAAAUUGGCUUCUUUUCUGUCCUUCUAAUGUGAUGACAGGGAUCUUUGUCAUCAGACUGCUGGUUGCCCAAGUCCCUCCAGCUAAGAGUGGUAUAGGGAAAGAUAAAAAUUAUCGUAACAUGAAAAUUGUCUGUAAUGAGCUGACCACUUGAGAGUUUUCUCUGUGCCCGGACGUCAUAGCUGAACACCAGCUUGUACCUCUGCCAUCAAAUCAGUGUUAUUGUCACACUCGGUGCUGGUUGGUAAAGCGAGUGGUCACAACUGUGACCACAGUUGUGAAAUGCAGUUGUUAAUCUUGCAAAAGAUGCAUGAUGUCUUGUAAGUUUGAGGAAAGAAAUGUUUGAGGACUGAAAGUUUCACACAUGUCCCUCCACGGCCAACUACUAGUUAAGAAAUGAUGGGGUAGAUGGUACCACAAGCUCUUCAAAAUUGAAUCGUUUUGAGUAUCAAGACAGAGAGGUCCUUGAAAAAGACUGGCAAAAUCUUCAGCUGUAUUUGCACAAUUCUACAGCAGAAGUUAAAGAAGGAGUGAGUUGUGCUUUAUGGCGCCAUCGUAAAUGUUUUUGGAAAAAUUAAGCCAAAAUUCUCUACUUGGUUUCCUUUUUAUGUCAUAGUUCCAUUUAUAACCUACAUUAUGUUACAUGUAAAAACACAAAUGAUUCUGUUUCAUUUUUCAAGAUAAAGUUUCAUUUACACUCUGUUUUUACUACGCACUGAAAAUUUGGUCCUUUAAGUGGCUUUACUUCUUUCCAAAAAAAAAAGAAUAAACUUUAGAGCAGGUUUAGAUUAACAGCCAAGUUGGGCAUAAAGUACAGAGUUCGCUUUUACCUCCCCAUCCCGCACAGCCGCCGUCAGUGUUGGUCAUUCUCCUUGCGCAGUGGUACCCUUGUUACAGUCCACGGACCUGCACCGACAUGUCAGUAUCAUGGUCCACAGUUUACAUUAGGGUUCACCCCUGGUGGUGCAUUUUGGACAAAUGCAUAAUGACGUGUCGUAUCCACUACUGUAGGCUCCUACAGAAGAGCCUCAUGACCCCCAAAGUCCUGUGUCCUCUGUUUAUCCCACCCUCCCCUCAACUCCUGAUCUUUUUAGUGUCUCCAUAGGUUUGCCUUUUCUAGAAUGUCAUAUGGUUGGACUCAUGCAGUAUAGCCUUUUCAGAUUGCCUUCUUUCACUUGAUAAACAUUUACAUUUACUCCAUGUCUUUUCAUGGCUUGAUAGUCUUAAUGCUGAAUCAUUUCCCAUGGUCUGGGUGUACCACAGUUUUAUCCAUUGGCCUACUGAAGGAUAUUUUUGAUUGCUUCAAGUUUUGACAGUUAUGAAUACAGCUCUUAGGAACAUCCUUGUGCAGGUUUUUGUGUGGACAUAAUUUUUCAGUUCGUUGGGGUAAAGAGCAAGCACGGUUGCUGGAUUAUAUGGUGAGAGCAUGUUUAUGUAAGAAGCCGCCUAAGUGGCCGUGCCGCUGCGCAUGCCUGUCAGCAUGAGUGAGGGCUCAUGCUGCUCCAUGCCCGCAUCAGCGUUUGAUGUCAGUUUUCUGGAUUUUGGCCAUUUGAGAAGCUUGCAGGAUCUCAGAUCCCCAACCAGAGAUUGAACCCAGGCCCAUGACAGUGAAAGUGUCAAAUCCUAACCACUAGACCACCCGGGAAUGCUCUAUUUUGAGUUAAUUUUUGUGAAGAUAUAAGGUCUGUAUCUAGAGUUCGUUUUUCUUUUGGCUGGGCUUCAAGGUUUGGGGGAUCUUAGUUCCCUAGCCAGGCAUCGAACCCAUGCCCCCUGGAAUAAAAGCUCAGAGUCCUAAUCACUGGACCACCAGGGAAUUCCCUACAUUUCAUUUUUUGCUUGUGGAUGUCCAGUUGUUCCAGCACCAUUUUUGAAAAGACUGUCCUUUCUCUACAGUUUUGUCUUUGCUCUCUGUCAAGAUCAGUUGACUGUGUGGGUCUGUUUUAGGCUCUGCAUGCUGUUCCAUUGAUCUGUAUGUCUUUUUUUUUUGCCAGUAUCACAGUGUCUUGAUUACCGUAGCUUUGUAGUAAAGUCUUGAAAUCUGAUAGGAUUAGUCCUUAGACUUUGUUCUUUUUUAACAUCAAGCCGGCUAUUCUAGGUCUUUUGCUUCUCCAUAUAGCUUUAGAAUCAGUUUACUGACAUCCGCAAAAUAACUUGAUGGGAUUUUUAUUGGGAUCACAUGAAUAUAUAGGCCCAGUAGGGAAGAACGGGCAUCUUGACAGUAUUGAGUCUUACUCUUCGCAGCCAUGGGACAUGUCUCCAUGUAUUUAGUUCUUCUUUGAUGUCUUUCUUUAGAAUUUUGUAGUUUUCCUCAUAUAGAUCUUGUACAUAUUUUAUUAGGUUUAUACCUCAGUAUUUAAUUUUGGGGAGUGCUAAUGUAAAUAAUAUGUUUUUAAUUUCAGUUUCUACUUGUUCAUCGCUCAUAUAUAGGAAGGAGACUGACUUUUGUGUAUUAACCUUGUAUCAUAUAACCUUGUUGUAAUUGCUUAGUUGUUUUCUUUCAGUCUAGUCUCUGGCUUGCUCAGCUCUGACCCUGAUGCCCAUGCUCUCCUUUCCAGUUUUCUUCUCCAGUGAAGCCCUGGCCACCAGCUUAGACUGGCCACCUCCCCCUCCCUGAUCUCAGCGUCUGCCCACUGGCAGGGAGUCUUGUACCGCCCUAGGACAGCCAUCGUCUUCAGCUUUCCAUCGGCCUGUUGUGCAUCUGUAGCUGGACUGCCAUCUCCCUGUAUAUCAACAUUCAAUCAUCUCACUGCGCCUAACCCUUUUUUUGUUGUUCAGUAUCAUAGUAGUCCAGGGGCUGGUGAUGAAACAAUAAAAUCAUGGUGAACCUGGCGGACGUUAUGCGAAGUGAAAUAAGCCAGUCCCCAAAAGACAAAUACUGCCUGACACCACUUCUAUGAGUUCCCGAGAGGAGUCAAGUUCAUGGGGACACAGUAUCCAGUGCCAGCCACUUCCUGUCGCCAGUGAGUACUCGCCGCUCCGGGCAUGACGUUCUCAGGUGCCCAGAGCCUGCCCUGCGUAGACCGGCUUCCUGCCGCCACGUCAGAGUGACUCACAGCUCAGCUCGGCUGAGUCAGAUCUGCUGGGCUCUUCCGCCUUAACGGGCUUAGCGUGGACUCAAACUUGACCUCCUUUCUGCACGUGGAGGGUAUUUUCCAUCUAUGAGAACUUCCCAGAGCAACCAAACUUGACUGACAGUCUUAACAGCCAGUACCUGAAAAACACCCCCCAAAAAUUUCAGUGUUUUUUCACAAGAGAAAGUGUGAAAAUAAGAAAAAGCAAGACUAAGAAUUCAGAACAUUUCCUGGCCUGCCUUGGGAGCUGCUCACAUCUGAGCUCCUGUGUGUGUGUGUCUUACCUCCUGGGACUCUUCAGUGCUGUUUUGUGUUCAUGAUGAGGGCCGCAGACCAGUGAGGGGCUCGAAACAUUAACAGGUACCUCGUAUUUGCCACCCUAGAUUUAAGGCAGGAAUGAAGGGGAGGUGUGAAGAGUUUUUGUAUUUUACACAAGAAUAUUUCAUUUGUUAACCUCUGAUUAUCUUGUGGUUAGGAUGGUACUUCAUACGACUUGGUGAUUAACCAGGAAAUUCAGUUGAGUGGGAUAGCUCCCUUCUUUUUGUUUGUGCAGUGAUUGGAGAAGACAGUUGGAAAAAGAAAAUAAAGAUUAUUUUUGUUCAUUAUAUUAAAAAAAAAAUCUUUGAGCAGGUAAUCGGUGUACUGGUGUAAAAAUUCAAAAAUUUUUACAGAAGGGUGUCUUUCCCACCUCUGGCCCCAGUGCCUCUCCCUAGAAGCAAGCAUUGUCCCUCCUUUUAUCCGUUCUUCCAGAGAGACGUCAGGCAUAGAGCAUGUGUGGGUUUACCUGUUUCUCCAGCAGACUCGAGAGUUGCAAUGUGCCAGAGGCUGGGAAUCCCUGACUUCCCCUCCCUUUAAUGUUAAUACUCAGAGUAGGUCACUUUUUUGCACUAAAAGCAGCACUGUGUCUUAGAGAUUGUUUUGUGUUGGUAAUUAUUGAGCUGUCUUACUCUCUUGAAUAGCCAUAUAGUGUUAUAUUUUAAUUGAAAUAUCAUUUUGAUUUUUUUCAGGCCAGUUAAAGAUUUCAGGACAGUUAAAGCUUCUGCUUUCUUAAGUUAAUCGUGGUAAUAAAAGAUUUCAUUUGUUAAGUGCCUACUGUUGCCAGGUUAUGGUAGUUGUGCUUAUCUCAGUUAACCUGGGCACCAGGCCUCCAGGAGAAGUAUUAUUCUUUUUUCUUUCUUGGCCAAGCUGCAUGGCAGGCAGGAUCCUCCUUCCUGGACCAGGGAUCAAACCUGUGCCCCCUGCAGUGGAAACACGGAGCCCUAACCACUGGACUGCCAGAAAAGUCCCUCAAGGAGGCAUGCACUUCAGUUUUGGCAGCGAUUACAUACACCUGUCUCUCUUUUUUGCCCACAUUUUUUUGUGACAAGCAGCUCUCUACAACACUACCUACUGCUUGUGAAGUGAGAAAUCCAGUCAAGGGACAGGUCUACCCUCAGGUCCAGGCAGUGCUCCUGUCGGUUAGAAGCCUCUGGAUGGGCCUGCUGUCACAGUCCAGGGCCACGUGGCGUUCGUAUGGAUGCGUUGCGUGGAGAAGGCGGGGGUGUCUGACCUUGCCAGGGACCCUGAUUCACCGAUGAGAACUGCAGCCAGACCGGGUUUGUGAGUCACCUUUGUCUGUGGAUUGUGGGUAAGGAUGCUAAGGGCUCUGUUGGGUGCACAUAUAAUGGCGGUAAUUAAUACCAGAAGCGAAGGUGGUGGCAUUUUAUUGUUUUCCCGUGCACAUAGGCUGUUGGGAAUUGCAUUUCUUCCGAGUCUUCCUCUCUUAGUUUUCCUGCACUACAUUUGUCCUGGCAGCGCAGGGGUGGAAUUCAGGAUGCUGCAUUAAAGAUUACUGUAGAAGGCCCCCAGGGCAGAGGUGGUUGCUACUAAAGCGUAAUUUUAAAACUUUGAGAAGUCCAGGGAUUAUGAGCACAGGGAAGAGAGCCAGUCAGCAGGAGGAAGGCAAAGGGCAGAGGAGGCAGGUGUUGGCCAACCUUCCCUCCCUGGGCUUGAUUCUGAAAUGUUUUCUCUUGACAGUUUUUACAAUGGCCUGGAUACCUGGCUUGUGAAAGGUGACUGGGUUGUGGCAGAGAAGGCUCUGUGUGAGGGCGCUCCCUGACAGGCCUCAACUGAGCAGGGGUGGUGAGGGAAAGGCCUUCAAAAGAUACGUGGGGAGGAAAGCAAGGAGUCAUGGCAGGACUGGAGGAAAGGACUUCUGGUGGAACUGGUGGGGGACAGGGGCCACCUCCGAACAGAGUUACAGAUAGGUGUGGGAAGCUGGAAACCCAGCGUAACCACAGAGGUUUCCUGAAACUUGGUAACUUUUCUCAUUCCAAAGCCCUUAGUAGCACUUCUUUCUCCAGAUCCUAAAAUCAGAGGCGUCUUUUUCAUGGGCUUGAUUUCUCUAAGCUCUGGCAGUUUCAUUGAAAGUGUUCAGUACUUGGGAGCAGAUUUUAAUCGAAUAGUGAUCACCACAGAUCCUACACAGGGAGCUUAAUAUUAAAGAGGAUGGUCAUUCAUAGAUUCAGGUAAAUCAAUGAAUGGUUGAUCUUAAUAAACCAGUUAUCACUGGUUUAGAAAAGGAAAAUAUAAUAGCUUUAUUGGGAUAUAACUCACAUAGUGUGAAAUUCAUCCUCUUAAAUGGUACAGUUCAGUGUUUUUUAGUAUUUUUACAGUUAUACAGCAUUCACUGCGAUUUUUCCAGGACAUUUUCAUCAUCUCAAAAUGAGACCCUCUACUGUUUUAGCAAUCUCCUCCAUCCUCCCCUCUCCCUAGUUUGACCACCACUGACUGACUGAUUUUUAUGGAUUUGCCUCUUCUGGACGUCUCAUAUAGAUAGAAUCGUACAGUAUAUGUGUAGGAGUGGAAUUGCUGGAUCAUUCAGUAACUCGGUGUUUAACUUUUUGAAGAUGUUCCCAGCUGGUACUAGUGGUUAAGAACCCCCCUGCCAGUGCAGUAGAUGGAAGAGAUGCAGGUUCAAUCCCUGGGUCAGGAAAAUCCCCUGGAGGUGGGCACAGCAGCCCACUCGAGUAUUCUUGCUUGGGAAAUCCCAUGGACGGAGGAGCCUGGCAGGCUACAGUCCACGGGGUCACAAAGAGUCGGACACGGCUGAAGCGACCUAGCAUCCACAGCGGCACGCGCUGAUUUUUUGAGGCCUCUGUCAGAGGAUCCCCAUGGACCCCCACAAAUACCGCUGUUGAGAUCGAGAGGCCAUUGCUUUGACCCAUUGUGAUCCUUCACCAGCACCUUCUUUUCCCCUUACUGCCGGUGAUCGUGGUUUUAUACAUAUGCUAAAUUGCCAACUGAUUUUUGAGAAGAGUUCAUUAUAGCAUAUGCUGGUGAUUGUGUUGUAGAUGCCAUGAAUUUUUAUGCAAGAUAAGUUCUCUUUAUUAAAAAUUACAUUUGUAAAGUAGUAAAGAACAAAAUUUU
Molecule: long non-coding RNA, 9864 nt
Organism: Dama dama (fallow deer)
Lineage: Eukaryota; Metazoa; Chordata; Mammalia; Artiodactyla; Cervidae
Exons: 9
Source: RefSeq, a predicted model, not a curated record